GGAAGGAAAAAAGAAAAAAUGUGAUCAAAGACACACAGAUUUCAAAAGUUGGAACUACUACUCUAUCACUAGAUAAACUGGAAGAAAUUGCUGAUUGUCAGGAAUUUACCAGAACUAGUUACAGUGAUUCCAACAUUUAUCUCCGAAAAAGGUUUUCUAACACUUCUGAGAAGGAAACCUCUGGUGAAAGUGAGCAGGAGAUGACAGAUG
This is a non-coding RNA of Tinamus guttatus (white-throated tinamou), 210 nucleotides long. The record is from RefSeq and is a predicted model, not a curated record. NCBI's taxonomy places the organism in Eukaryota, Metazoa, Chordata, Aves, Tinamiformes, Tinamidae.